RNAcentral lists this ribosomal RNA (301 nucleotides) under uncultured bacterium. RNAcentral describes it as "partial 16S ribosomal RNA". It matches the Rfam family "Bacterial small subunit ribosomal RNA", at positions 509 to 807 of the family's 1533-position model. The record is from RNAcentral.
CAGUAGCCGCGGGAAAACGAGGGGUGCAAGCGUUAUUCGGAUUGAUUGGGUGUAAAGGGUGCGCAGACGGCUUAUUAAGUCACUUGUUAAAUUCUUCGGCCUAACUGAAGGUCUGCAAGUGAUACUGAUGAGCUAGAGGGUGGAAGAGAGAAGUGGAAUUCUCGGAGUAGCGGUAAAAUGCGUAGAUCUCGUGAGGAACACCAAUGGCGAAGGCAGCUUCUUGGUCCAUUCCUGACGUUCAUACACGAAAGCGUGGGGAGCAAACAGGAUUAGAUACCCCCGUAGUCCCUGUCUCUUAUAC